CAGGGAAUUACACAUUUAACAUAUCGUUGCUUUAAAGUAAUAAUAAAUCUAUACUAUCAUAAUAUGUUACAAUGUAAGAAGUCAAUAACAAAUAGAUCUCUGGAGUUUUGAUGUGCAAGAAUAUGUUUUUCAUAUUCAAGACUGAGCACAGAUUAGAAACACUGUGUUUCUAGUCAGGGCCCUAUUACGGUGCACUUCUGGAAUUGCUUCUGUGUGAGUGAGGGAUUGAGUGUUGGGUAAAAUUCAUUAAAACAUUUGUUGUUGAGCCAGAAGAUUUAAAAAAAAAAAGGAAUGUUUUAACUAAUGUAUUUAGCGAGACAUUGUUAAUGUGGUGAAACAAAACAGAUUUAAAUUUAGCUUGUGAUCAACACACAAAUUGUAGACUAAUUGUCUGCGCAGGAAUGCCGAUUUCUGCUCACUGCAGAUUUGAUUUAAUUCCAACCGUACGUUUUAAAUCUGACUGACUAUGAUGUCACUGUUCGCAUGAUUUCUUAUCUAAAAACGCUGGUAGGUUCUAGUUUCCUAAAACACUCUAUAGUGACCAGGGACAUGGAGUAGGUUCUAGCUUCCUAAAACCCUCUAUAGUGACCAUGGAGUAGGUUCUAGCUUCCUAAAACCCUCUAUAGUGACCAAGGACAUGGAGUAGGUUAUAGCUUCCUAAAACCCUCUAUAGUGACCGUGGAGUAGGUUAUAGCUUCCUAAAACCCUCUAUAUUGACCAUGGAGUAGGUUAUAGCUUCCUAAAACCCUCUAUAGUGACCAUGGAGUAGAUUCUAGCUUCCUAAAACCCUCUAUAUUGACCAUGGAGUAGGUUAUAGCUUCCUAAAACCCUCUAUAGUGACCAUGGAGUAGAUUCUAGCUUCCUACAACCGCCUAAAAUCACUAGCAUGCGUUAUGUUUUGUUUUGUGUCACAUCUCUUGACUUUCUACCUGCGAUUUUAAACUAAAGGAAAGCAACUCGUCUAACAGAAGAAGCAAGUAUCAUGAAGCCACGAGCACAGAAGAUAAUGCAGUCGCAUGGCACAAAGGAGUAUUGUGUUGGCAUCCAGUGGCUGCGUCAAAACUGGAAUAUUUAAUAAUCAAUCCUCUAUUUGAAAUACAUUUUUAGAACUGAACUGAAUACAUAAAAAAUAAAGAAUAAAGUAGACUUGACUAAAUGCCGUUGCCACGAACAGUAGCGGAGAUAUUGAGAUGAGCAAGUAUUGCUCUCACACAGUAUCUGCACCAAGUGUACUGGUUUUGAUUUUUCACGGGACCAAAACAGAGGAGAAGUUGAGCCUCGCGCUUCAACACUCUUAGUUGUAGUGGAAAUUGGCCCACGAUGCUGUCUACCUUUUAAUUAUUGACCAUUCCCCCCCC
Molecule: long non-coding RNA, 1358 nt
Organism: Oncorhynchus tshawytscha (Chinook salmon)
Lineage: Eukaryota; Metazoa; Chordata; Actinopteri; Salmoniformes; Salmonidae
Source: Ensembl